This 253-nucleotide ribosomal RNA is filed under the name uncultured bacterium. RNAcentral describes it as "partial 16S ribosomal RNA". It matches the Rfam family "Bacterial small subunit ribosomal RNA", at positions 524 to 776 of the family's 1533-position model. The record is from RNAcentral.
UACGUAGGGUGCAAGCGUUGUCCGGAAUUAUUGGGCGUAAAGGGCUCGUAGGCGGUUUGUCGCGUCAGGAGUGAAAACUCGGGGCUUAACCCCGAGCCUGCUUCUGAUACGGGCAGACUAGAGGUAUGCAGGGGAGAACGGAAUUCCUGGUGUAGCGGUGAAAUGCGCAGAUAUCAGGAGGAACACCAAUAGCGAAGGCAGCUCGCUGGGACGUUACUGACACUGAGGCGCGAAAGCGUGGGGAGCGAACAGG